Molecule: ribosomal RNA, 440 nt
Filed under: uncultured bacterium
Lineage: Bacteria
Description: partial 16S ribosomal RNA
Rfam family: Bacterial small subunit ribosomal RNA
Source: RNAcentral
CUACGGGGGGCAGCAGUAGGGAAUAUUGGACAAUGGGCGAAAGCCUGAUCCAGCAACACCGCGUGCACGAUGACGGCCUUCGGGUUGUAAAGUGCUUUUAGAGGAGAUGAGAAAGGACAGUAUCCUCCGAAUAAGCCUCGGCGAACUACGUGCCAGCAGCCGCGGUGAAACGUAGGAGGCAAGCGUUAUCCGGAUUUAUUGGGCGUAAAGCGCGUGCAGGCGGUCUAGCAAGUUGGAUGUGAAAGCUCCCGGCUCAACUGGGAGAGGUCGUUCAAUACUGUUAGACUAGAGAAUAGGAGAGGGAGGUGGAAUUCCGGGUGUAGUGGUGAAAUGCGUAGAUAUCCGGAGGAACACCAGUGGCGAAAGCGGCCUCCUGGACUAUUUCUGACGCUAAGACGCGAAAGCUAGGGUAGCAAACGGGAUUAGAUACCCGUGUAGUC